CACACUUUGCAUCAUCACUUCAUUUUCACCCUUGGACCAUUGCACACCACACACCUUGCCAUGCAUUUCAUCCUUAACCUAACCUGAUUUUCUAAGGUUUUUGGGGCCUAUAAAUACAUGUUUACACCCCUUGGCAAAAGAACAAUCCCCCAUAUUCAUCAUUUUAUAACAGAAAUUCGUCCAUACACACCCUAGGAAGCAAAACACCCCAAAAACACCAUUCUAGUGCCUAGAAAACAUAACAGCCACUCCACCUUCUUCCACCCUCUUUGCCUAGUUCUCCACCACCCUCCAACCCUCAAACACUCCUCCACACUCACCCUAAACCCUUCCAUAACAUUCCCCAUCCAUUCUACAUCAUAAAACUACCCAAAAUCUGUCCAUAACCCAAUCUGCUGCAAGCAAGGGAAAGGAGGAAUCUUGGAUGCACUUGCUACCAAGUUGGAGCAUUUUAGGUGUUUUCUUUCCUUUGAUUUUAAUCUCUAAUUUUAUGUAUCUUUGCUUUGUGAGUAUGAGGAACUAAACCCCUCUUAGUUAGGGGGUGAUUCGAAACUAUGUUCAUACUUGCAAUAUGAUUUGAUUACAUCCAGUUGUGAUUCAUAAAUUGUGAAUUCAAUUUACUUAUCCGUUCAUAUAAAAACUAAUUUGUGUAUGUUGGUUAAGAGUGCACGCUUAAUUUUCAUGCAUGAAUUUGACGCUAGAAUAUAAGGGAGUUUCACCUAAUCGUUAUAAACUUAUAUUCACAAGUAGUGAAGGUUGCUAGUCACAAUCACGUUAAGUAAACUCUUGGCAUAAGUUUCAUGCAAAUCAUAGUAACGAGUGCCUCGUCAAUGCUUAUGUUUUUCAUAGAACUUAAUGAUUCUUGCUUGUAUCUCUAUUAUGCAAUUCAUAUAGGGAACUUGUAGGGAAUGUUUUGGGUUGUCGUAUGCGAUCAUCCAACCUAAUAACUUGUGGAAAAACUGAGGGUUAAUUAGUGCAAUUCACGGUUAAUUUGGGGCGUUGAGUAUUCAUAGCUUAUGGAAAAGCAACUGGAAAUCGUUUUGUAUGCAAGUGUGACAUAUGUGGAGAAGAACCUCCUAGCUAAUCUUCCAUCCAUAAGUUUCAUUCAAAUUCACUUACAAUCUGUUUUGUUUUACAAAGUUUGUUUUGUUUUCAAAUUCAUUAAAACCAAAAUCCCCCUUUUACUUUAUUGUUUCAAAGUGUUUAAUUUCUGUUUUGGUUGUGUGUUAGAGUGUUUUGAUUCACCCAAAUUUGUCUAAGAAUUUGUUUACUUUGUUCUUGUCUUAAUUUAAUUAUUUUCGUCAAAAAUCAACCCCAUCUUAUUUCUUUGAGUCAUAUUAAUUAGAACUUGUCUUAGAUUAUGUUUUUAAGUGUUUUAGUUCAUUAGAAUACCAAAAUUUGUCCAAGUUUGUGUGAGAGUCCCAAAAUUGCCCAGAUUGUGUUUUUAAGGUAGUUUUGAGUGUUUAGGGGCUGUUUUGAG
RNAcentral lists this long non-coding RNA (1480 nucleotides) under Malus domestica (apple). Its description in RNAcentral is "long non-coding RNA (MDOM_LNC017899)". Lineage: Eukaryota; Viridiplantae; Streptophyta; Magnoliopsida; Rosales; Rosaceae. The record is from RNAcentral.